This 250-nucleotide long non-coding RNA is filed under the name Phoenix dactylifera (date palm). RNAcentral describes it as "long non-coding RNA (PDAC_LNC015971)". The record is from RNAcentral. Lineage: Eukaryota; Viridiplantae; Streptophyta; Magnoliopsida; Arecales; Arecaceae.
UUUUAGUACAAAUAUAUUCAAAAAGAUCAAAGAGCAAAAAGUUAUCCAAAUCGGCACAUAUGUUUUUUAAGGACUAGCAUAUUCUAUAAGAAAAUCGUCAUGGAAGCUGUGAGGCCGGGCUUGAGCAGGACUAGUUUUAUUGGGCCUAACAAAUGUUGCAACUCUGUUGAUGUGAAUUGGGUAAGCAACAUCAUGAGCUUACCUCCUUCCCUUCUCUUGCCCAUACGCCAUGCCACAUUUGCCCCGUCAA